RNAcentral lists this ribosomal RNA (543 nucleotides) under uncultured bacterium. RNAcentral describes it as "partial 16S ribosomal RNA". It matches the Rfam family "Bacterial small subunit ribosomal RNA", at positions 355 to 887 of the family's 1533-position model. The record is from RNAcentral.
UGGGGAAUAUUGCACAAUGGGCGCAAGCCUGAUGCAGCCAUGCCGCGUGUGUGAAGAAGGCCUUCGGGUUGUAAAGCACUUUCAGCGAGGAGGAAGGUGGUGGACUUAAUACGUUCAUCAAUUGACGUUACUCGCAGAAGAAGCACCGGCUAACUCCGUGCCAGCAGCCGCGGUAAUACGGAGGGUGCAAGCGUUAAUCGGAAUUACUGGGCGUAAAGCGCACGCAGGCGGUUUGUUAAGUCAGAUGUGAAAUCCCCGGGCUCAACCUGGGAACUGCAUUUGAAACUGGCAAGCUAGAGUCUCGUAGAGGGGGGUAGAAUUCCAGGUGUAGCGGUGAAAUGCGUAGAGAUCUGGAGGAAUACCGGUGGCGAAGGCGGCCCCCUGGACGAAGACUGACGCUCAGGUGCGAAAGCGUGGGGCAGCAAACAGGAUUAGAUACCCUGGUAGUCCACGCUGUAAAACGAUGUCGAUUUUGGAGGUUGUGCCCUUGAGGCGUGGCUUCCGGAGCUAACGCGUUAAAUCGACCGCCUGGGGAGUACGGCC